GCAAGCUCCAGGCCUAACACAUGCAAGUCGAGCGCACCUUACGGGUGAGCGGCGGACGGGUGAGUAACGCGUGGGAACGUGCCCUUGGGUAAGGAACAACAGUUGGAAACGACUGCUAAUACCUUAUGACGUCUUCGGACCAAAGAUUUAUCGCCCAGGGAUUGGCCCGCGUUGGAUUAGCUAGUUGGUGGGGUAAUGGCCUACCAAGGCUACGAUCCAUAGCUGGUUUGAGAGGAUGAUCAGCCACACUGGGACUGAGACACAGCCCAGACUCCUACGGGAGGCAGCAGUGGGGAAUCUUAGACAAUGGACGCAAGUCUGAUCUAGCCAUGCCGCGUGAGCGAUGAAGGCCUUAGGGUUGUAAAGCUCUUUCACCGGUGAAGAUAAUGACGGUAGCCGGAGAAGAAGCCCCGGCUAACUCCGUGCCAGCAGCCGCGGUAAUACGGAGGGGGCUAGCGUUGUUCGGAAUUACUGGGCGUAAAGCGCGCGUAGGCGGAUUGUUAAGUCGGGGGUGAAAUCCCGGGGCUCAACCCCGGAACUGCCUCCGAUACUGGCAGUCUUGAGGUCGAGAGAGGUGAGUGGAAUUCCGAGUGUAGAGGU
RNAcentral lists this ribosomal RNA (600 nucleotides) under uncultured bacterium. RNAcentral describes it as "bacterial SSU rRNA". It matches the Rfam family "Bacterial small subunit ribosomal RNA", at positions 35 to 682 of the family's 1533-position model. The record is from RNAcentral.